GGAUGAGAGAUACACCCGCUCACAGGGAACUGUGAGCGGCACGGGCCGAGGCCUCCCCAGCUUCGACCUGGUCGUGCCCUCGCGCACACAACCGGGGCCCGAGGGCCCCGGGUCUCCUCACGAUCGGA
This 128-nucleotide non-coding RNA is filed under the name Streptomyces sp. NWU49. RNAcentral's name for it is "Streptomyces RNA 5676". It matches the Rfam family "Streptomyces RNA 5676". Rfam says of the family: Identified by deep sequencing of transcriptome at the end of exponential growth phase. Appears longer on northern blot than sequencing transcript. This indicates processing step. Lineage: Bacteria; Bacillati; Actinomycetota; Actinomycetes; Kitasatosporales; Streptomycetaceae. The record is from Rfam by way of RNAcentral.